RNAcentral lists this non-coding RNA (31 nucleotides) under Mus musculus (house mouse). Lineage: Eukaryota; Metazoa; Chordata; Mammalia; Rodentia; Muridae. The record is from RNAcentral.
UCAAAGAUCUUUUAUAAAGCCAAUGAUUACC